This 1389-nucleotide long non-coding RNA is filed under the name Sinocyclocheilus grahami. RNAcentral describes it as "lncRNA (ENSSGRG00000018606.1)". The record is from RNAcentral. Lineage: Eukaryota; Metazoa; Chordata; Actinopteri; Cypriniformes; Cyprinidae.
AAAGAUGUUCAGGAAUUAUUUACUGGUCGUUAAUGCAUCUGGAGAUGAAUGGCCUGUUGCACGAAAGAGAGCUCUAUUUCUUCAUUGUUUGGGCACAGAAGGUCAGAGAUUAUUUUAUACCUUGCCAAAUCAAGGAGAGACGAUGGAGGAUGCUAUUGAGGUUUUACAAGCAUACUUUGUUCCUCGACGGAAUGUAAUUGCAGAACGGCAUGCUUUUAGAAAACGAGCUCAAGUACCUGGUGAAACAGUCCUACAGUAUGUAACCUCACUCCGAGAUUUAGCAGCCACAUGUGAGUUUGGAUCAAAUCUUGAUGAAAUGUUACGUGAUCAAUUAGUAGAAAAUGUGACCAGUCAUCGUAUUAGAGAAAAGUUGUUGUUGGAGACUGACUUGACCCUUAGUAAAGCCAUCACAAAUGCUACUCAAAUUGAAGCUGCUGGUGAACAAGUUAAAAACCAUAUCAGACCGGAAGGUGGUGCCUGUGCAAGCAAUACAAGGAAGGUCUAUAGCAGCUGUUGGUCAGUAUAAAAUUAAAUACUCUGCAUCUACAAAGCCUUCUGUUUCCACUAAAACCUUUAAGGCUUCUAAGAUGACUUCAUCAGUCUGUGCAUGUUAUCGUUGUGGAUCAACAAAACAUCUUGCAAAUGAUUCUAGAUGCCCUGCUGUUUCAGGAAAAUGCCAUAAUUGUCAAAAGAUUGGACAUUUUUCAAGAGUAUGUCAUUCACAACAAACAUGCUUCGUACAUGAAAUUGAAUUGCCUGAACUUCAAAUUUUGUACAUGCAAAAUGUGCUAACUGAUAAGAUUAAGUGUACUGCUACAAUCACAACUGCUUCUGCUUCUGUACCUGUGGAGUUGAUAGUGGAUUCUGAGUCCUCUGUUACCAUUUUGCCAAAAUUUGUGUACGAGACAUAUUUUAAGAAAGACUCCUUGCUGCCUCCUUCUGUUAAAUUGGUGACUUAUUCCCGUGAUCCAAUACCAGUGCUUGGAUGCUUACCUGUUACUGUCACCAAGAAUGAUGUUAACUGCGAGACUUCCAUUUUUAUAGUUGAGUCUGGCACUGCUCUUCUCGGAAUGGAUUUAAUUAAUGGCCUGCAUCUUCACUUUGGAGCAUCUUCUGUUCCGAUAAAAUCUGCUCAACCUCCAGCACAUGUGAUGGGCCUUUCUGCUUCAGUGCCUGUGGAUAAACUGGGAUGUGCAAAAGGUUUCCUGCAUAAGGUAAAGAUCUCUUCCAAUGUUGCACCUGUACGUCAAAAACUCAGACGUUUACCAUUGUCUGUUCGGAAUGCUGUUUCUGAAGAACUUCAAAGUCUUCUUGACCUAGGUGUUAUUGAGAAAGUUGAUGCAUCACCUUGGGUUUCACCAAUUGUUGUAGUGCAGAAAAAAUCAGAAG